AUACGUAGGUGGCGAGCGUUGUCCGGAAUUACUGGGUGUAAAGGGUGCGUAGGCGGGAAAGCAAGUCAGAUGUGAAAGCCCAUGGCUCAACUGUGGAAAUGCAUCUGAAACUGUUUUUCUUGAGUGUCGGAGAGGAAAGCGGAAUUCCUAGUGUAGCGGUGGAAUGCGUAGAUAUUAGGAAGAACACCGGUGGCGAAGGCGGCUUUCUGGACGAUAACUGACGCUGAGGCACGAAAGUGUGGGGAGCGAACAGGAUUAGAUACCCUGGUAGUCCACACUGUAAACGAUGGAUACUAGGUGUAGGGGGUAUCAACUCCCUCUGUGCCGGCGUUAACACAAUAAGUAUCCCACCUGGGGAGUACGGUCGCAAGGCUGAA
RNAcentral lists this ribosomal RNA (377 nucleotides) under uncultured bacterium. RNAcentral describes it as "bacterial SSU rRNA". It matches the Rfam family "Bacterial small subunit ribosomal RNA", at positions 523 to 898 of the family's 1533-position model. The record is from RNAcentral.